This 226-nucleotide ribosomal RNA is filed under the name uncultured bacterium. RNAcentral describes it as "partial 16S ribosomal RNA". It matches the Rfam family "Bacterial small subunit ribosomal RNA", at positions 538 to 763 of the family's 1533-position model. The record is from RNAcentral.
GCGUUAUCCGGAUUCACUGGGUUUAAAGGGUGCGUAGGCGGGCAGGUAAGUCAGUGGUGAAAUCCUGGAGCUCAACUCCAGAACUGCCAUUGAUACUAUCUGUCUUGAAUAUUGUGGAGGUAAGCGGAAUAUGUCAUGUAGCGGUGAAAUGCUUAGAUAUGACAUAGAACACCCAUUGCGAAGGCAGCUUACUACGCAUAUAUUGACGCUGAGGCACGAAAGCGUG